This 497-nucleotide ribosomal RNA is filed under the name uncultured bacterium. RNAcentral describes it as "partial 16S ribosomal RNA". It matches the Rfam family "Bacterial small subunit ribosomal RNA", at positions 28 to 507 of the family's 1533-position model. The record is from RNAcentral.
GAUGAACGCUGGCGGCGUGCCUAAUACAUGCAAGUCGAGCGAACGGACGAGAAGCUUGCUUCUCUGAUGUUAGCGGCGGAAGGGUGAGUAACACGUGGAUAACCUACCUAUAAGACUGGGAUAACUUCGGGAAACCGGAGCUAAUACCGGAUGAUAUUUUGAACCGCAUGGUUCAAAAGUGAAAGACGGUCUUGCUGUCACUUAUAGAUGGAUCCGCGCUGCAUUAGCUAGUUGGUAAGGUAACGGCUUACCAAGGCAACGAUGCAUAGCCGACCUGAGAGGGUGAUCGGCCACACUGGAACUGAGACACGGUCCAGACUCCUACGGGAGGCAGCAGUAGGGAAUCUUCCGCAAUGGGCGAAAGCCUGACGGAGCAACGCCGCGUGAGUGAUGAAGGUCUUCGGAUCGUAAAACUCUGUUAUUAGGGAAGAACAUAUGUGUAAGUAACUGUGCACAUCUUGACGGUACCUAAUCAGAAAGCCACGGCUAACUACGUG